ACUGAACGCUGGCGGCAUGCCUAAUACAUGCAAGUCGGGCGAGAGGCGGACGGGUGAGUCAUGUAUGGGGAUCUGCCUGAUGGAGGGGGACAACUACUGGAAACGGUAGAUACUACCGAAUACCACCAGAUGCAAGCAUAUGGGAUUAGUUUGUAGGUGAGGUAACGGCUCACCUAGGCGACGACCCCUAGCUGGUCUGAGAGGAUGAUCGGCCACAAUGGGACUGAGACACGGCCCAGACUCCUACGGGAGGCAGCAGUGGGGAAUAUUGCGCAAUGGGCGCAAGCCUGAUGCAGCCAUGCCGCGUGUAUGAAGAAGGCCUUCGGGUUGUAAAGUACUUUCAGUAGGGAGGCGUUACCGACAGAAGAAGCACCGGCUAACUCCGUGCCAGCAGCCGCGGUAAUUC
Molecule: ribosomal RNA, 406 nt
Filed under: uncultured bacterium
Lineage: Bacteria
Description: partial 16S ribosomal RNA
Rfam family: Bacterial small subunit ribosomal RNA
Source: RNAcentral